Pongo pygmaeus (Bornean orangutan) is the source of this 933-nucleotide long non-coding RNA. RefSeq lists it as uncharacterized. The record is from RefSeq and is a predicted model, not a curated record. Lineage: Eukaryota; Metazoa; Chordata; Mammalia; Primates; Hominidae. The transcript is spliced from 3 exons.
AAAGCCAGCAGUCACAGGCCUCACCCAGCUCCCACAGAACCCAAAGGGCCCGUCUCACUCCCACCAUGCCCCACCUAACAGUAGCAAGUCUAUUUCCAGGCAGUGGGUGAGCAGGGCUGAGAACUUGCCCUGGGCUACCUGCCUCCAAGCUGUGAAAGUAAAUAGGGCUUUUGUGCUUCCCUCACCUGUGAAGUCUGCACACUGGAUUCAUGCCCUCCCCCGAGUUCUGGCCAGGAGACUUCUCUAUCAGUUCAAAUUGUUACAAACUUCAGCUGGAGGUUUUCUUCUGCAGUGGCCUUUUCCCAGUGCCUCUGGCAGCUUUCCUCAAGGAUCCCUGUGAGCAAGUCUCUCAGACAAGGGGCAGUAACAGAGACUUGAGUCAAGAGCAAGAUUUCGAUAGGACAAGUCACAGCUCUUCAGUAAACAAGAAAAACAAUCUUGAAGGUUAAUGAAAGCUGCUGGAGGGAAAAUGGCUCAGAUUCCCAAGACUGCUUCUCCUGUUUGGAGUAAUGAAAGAGAGAAAAAGAAGAGAGAAUUGGACUCUGUCUCCAUGAUACUACAUCAAGAACUGCCUCUUUCUACAGGAUUUGCUACCACCUGUGAGAUGUUUGUAGAAGAACAGAAAGCCGAGCCACUUCUGUAGCAGAAUGAGGGUGCAAUGCCCACAGCUGCUGACAUUUCCUUGAGUGGCGCCUGGUCACCCACAGAGCCACUUUUGCUACACCCUCCCUUCCUAGUCCUUAAGUGGCUCCACAGAAUAAAUCAUCUGAAACUCACGUUACCACCAGUGGAGGAGGGAUGAGGACUGUAGUGAAAAUAAAUGCGUAGGUAUAUCCUUGACAUUAUUAUCAAGACUCUGGAGCUCUUUUGAAAGGAUUUCACAGCAAAUUCCAAAACCCAGAGUGUAAAUGAAUAGAAAUGCUUUUGUCUUAU